Molecule: ribosomal RNA, 252 nt
Filed under: uncultured bacterium
Lineage: Bacteria
Description: partial 16S ribosomal RNA
Rfam family: Bacterial small subunit ribosomal RNA
Source: RNAcentral
UACGGAGGAUGCGAGCGUUAUCCGGAUUUAUUGGGUUUAAAGGGUGCGUAGGCGGACGCUUAAGUCAGCGGUAAAAUUGCGGGGCUCAACCUCGUCGAGCCGUUGAAACUGGGUGUCUUGAGUGGGCGAGAAGUACGCGGAAUGCGUGGUGUGGCGGUGAAAUGCAUAGAUAUCACGCAGAACUCCGAUUGCGAAGGCAGCGUACCGGCGCCCAACUGACGCUGAAGCACGAAGGCGUGGGUAUCGAACAGG